RNAcentral lists this ribosomal RNA (915 nucleotides) under Chaetothyriales sp. RNAcentral describes it as "eukaryotic LSU rRNA". It matches the Rfam family "Eukaryotic large subunit ribosomal RNA", at positions 1 to 936 of the family's 3401-position model. Lineage: Eukaryota; Fungi; Ascomycota; Eurotiomycetes; Chaetothyriales. The record is from RNAcentral.
UUGACCUCGGAUCAGGUAGGGAUACCCGCUGAACUUAAGCAUAUCAAUAAGCGGAGGAAAAGAAACCAACAGGGAUUGCCUCAGUAACGGCGAGUGAAGCGGCAACAGCUCAAAUUUGAAAUCUGGCCUUUGGGUCCGAGUUGUAAUUUGUAGAGGAUGUUUUGGGUACCGCCGCGGUUUAAAUUUCUUGGAACAGAAUGUCAGAGAGGGUGAGAAUCCCGUCUGGAACUGCGGUAGGGCCUAUGUAAAACUCCUUCGACGAGUCGAGUUGUUUGGGAAUGCAGCUCAAAAUGGGUGGUAAAUUUCAUCUAAAGCUAAAUAUUGGCCAGAGACCGAUAGCGCACAAGUAGAGUGAUCGAAAGAUGAAAAGCACUUUGAAAAGAGAGUUAAACAGUAUGUGAAAUUGUUGAAAGGGAAGCGCUUGCAACCAGACUUGCGUGUGGCGGUUCCCCCUUGCUUCUGCUUGGGCUACUCCGUCAUAUCCAGGCCAACAUCGGUUCUAGGGGCUGGUUAAAGGCCUUGGGAAUGUACCUACCUCCGGGUAGACUUAUAGCCCAGGGUGUCAUGCGGCCACCCGGGACCGAGGAACGCGCUUCGGCGAGGAUGUUGGCGUAAUGGUUGUCAGCGACCCGUCUUGAAACACGGACCAAGGAGUCUAACAUCUAUGCGAGUGUUUGGGUGUCAAACCCGUACGCGAAAUGAAAGUGAACGGAGGUAGGAAGCCUUUUAGGCUGCACUAUCGACCGAUCCUGAUAUUUAUGGAUGGAUUUGAGUAAGAGCAUAGCUGUUGGGACCCGAAAGAUGGUGAACUAUGCCUGAAUAGGGUGAAGCCAGAGGAAACUCUGGUGGAGGCUCGCAGCGGUUCUGACGUGCAAAUCGAUCGUCAAAUUUGGGUAUAGGGGCGAAAGACUAAUC